UCGAGUCACCAUUACCCGCUAAAAGCCUUCUUCGCCACUUUUCACCAUGCCAAACCUCUGUGUCUCCUGCACCUUCAACCCGCCGACUAUCACGCUGCUCGGCUCCACCAUCCGCGAAGACACCGUGCGCGCAAUGGAGGCUCAACUCCCCCUUGCCACGUCGACCGCUGUGAAUCCUAGCAAGGAUCCAGCCAAGUUCAUCUUUCUCUCGAAUCCUGAUCACUGGCGUAUGGAUCUGAAUCAGCACUUCUGCGACGAGCUCCACAAGUCCUCGGUUUUCCUUGUGAUUCUUCAGUCCCUUGAGGAAGAGGGCUGGCGUCUUCGCGCCUCGAACAAUGUGGUAAACAAGGAAAAUGAUCGUGAGACCGUAAAGCUCUUCUUUACGCGCGCGUGAGCUUCAUGUACAAUCAUCGCGCACCUUUCUUUUUCAUUGAUUAGGGCCAACUCCCCACCGAUGUAAAAAAAAAUCCUGAAAGUGGGAUGACACAAUUCAGUGACAAUGGAAAAAAAAGAAGCGUGACUGGUAUUCAAGCUUCACACACGUAUUUCCCCCCAUACACAAGGAUGUGUUAUUGUUUUCUACUUGAUUCGGGUACGCUCACCACAGCGCACCUCGUCUGAAAAGCACUUGAUACUGUUCCUUUUUUCGCGUAUGUUCAUCUAUG
This 665-nucleotide unclassified non-coding RNA is filed under the name Leishmania donovani. RNAcentral's name for it is "gene:LdHU3.30.3800(CDS-product:hypothetical_prote in_conserved)". The record is from RNAcentral. Lineage: Eukaryota; Euglenozoa; Kinetoplastea; Trypanosomatida; Trypanosomatidae.